This is a non-coding RNA of Parelaphostrongylus tenuis, 72 nucleotides long. The record is from the annotation of a GenBank genome assembly. Lineage: Eukaryota; Metazoa; Nematoda; Chromadorea; Rhabditida; Metastrongylidae.
GGGCGUAUGGCUCACUGGUAGAGCAAUCCCUUAGAAUGGGAGAGGGCUGGGGUUCAAGUCUCCAAACCUCCU